Molecule: ribosomal RNA, 460 nt
Filed under: uncultured bacterium
Lineage: Bacteria
Description: partial 16S ribosomal RNA
Rfam family: Bacterial small subunit ribosomal RNA
Source: RNAcentral
CCUACGGGUGACAGCAGUGAGGAAUAUUGGUCAAUGGACGAGAGCCUGAACCAGCCAAGUAGCGUGAAGGAUGACUGCCCUACGGGUUGUAAACUUCUUUUAUAUGGGAAUAAAAUGCUCCACGUGUGGGGUUUUGUAUGUACCAUAUGAAUAAGGAUCGGCUAACUCCGUGCCAGCAGCCGCGGUAAUACGGAGGAUCCGAGCGUUAUCCGGAUUUAUUGGGUUUAAAGGGAGCGUAGGUGGGUUGUUAAGUCAGUUGUGAAAGUUUGCGGCUCAACCGUAACAUUGCAGUUGAAACUGGCAGUCUUGAGUACAGUAGAGGUAGGCGGAAUUCGUGGUGUAGCGGUGAAAUGCUUAGAUAUCACGAAGAACUCCGAUUGCGAAGGCAGCUUACUGGAGUGCAACUGACACUGAGGCUCGAAAGUGUGGGUAUCAAACAGGAUUAGAUACCCCAGUAGUC